Myotis brandtii (Brandt's bat) is the source of this 1787-nucleotide long non-coding RNA. RefSeq lists it as uncharacterized. The transcript is spliced from 2 exons. The record is from RefSeq and is a predicted model, not a curated record. NCBI's taxonomy places the organism in Eukaryota, Metazoa, Chordata, Mammalia, Chiroptera, Vespertilionidae.
CAUGCCCUGGUAAGCCUUCUUCAAAACCUGAACAAAGCCAACUACCAGCUGCCCAUCAUGGUGACAGAUUCAGGGAAACCGCCCAUGACGAACGUCACAGACCUCAGGGUACAAGUGUGUUCCUGCAAGAAUUCCAAAGUGGACUGCAACGCCGCGGGGGCCCUGCACUUCAGCCUGACCUCAGUCCUGCUCAUCUCCCUCUUCAGUUUAGCUUGUCUGUGAGAACUCCUGACAUCUGACGCUUGACUACCAAGUUUCCAUAGCAACAGGAAAAAAAAUCCAAAUCGGAAGAUUGCCGUUUACAGCUUUCGAACUUCACAACUAGGCCUCAAUUGCUCCAGAUUUUCCUUUUCUUUGCCAUUUCAUUUAGUCUGUACUUCACCAUUUUGACAGCAUCUUCCUUUCUCCUUUGAUUAAUGGGAUUCUCUGAAUUCCCCGAGUGUUUAAAGAUCAUGGCAUAUCACGUGCCCUCCGGGAGCAGGAACAAUGACUACUUUUUCUGAUGUGUUGCCACAUUGCUAGUCAGCAGUCCACACCUCCAGCUGUGUCUGUGGGUUAGUAUCUGUAUAUGUAUGAGUAUCUGUACGUGUACAUAUCAGUAUUUAUAGAGUGAGAUGAGAUAGGACAACCCAGUUUUGAUGUGUCAUUCUCCCUUGAGAGGCUAAACAAAAAGGGAUGGAGGCCAGCAGCUGACCCCCCAGGACCUCAGCAGCAAGCUGGGCAUUAGCGCAGACCAGAGCUGAUGCUUCCCCACCGUCCCAUUCGGUCUGAAUGCUGCCAUGACCAGCAGGCAGGUCUGCAGAGAGAGAGAGAGAGAGAGAGAGAGAGAGAGAGAGAGAGGCCUUUCUCUUCACCUGAGGGCUACACCCAGUUUUCACUGCCAUCAUAUGCCGUGAUCCUGAGCAAAAGUGGUGGGGAGCAGAGCAGGAAAUGUUACCAUCAAAUGCCAAGCAAAGGGCUGAAAUAUUCGUCCCUGGGCACCUGUCUGCAUUUGUAUGUGUCCUAAAUCCACAGUCCCCCUCUGGACUUAGUUCUUAUGGGGACACGGAUCAUGGCAGAGAACCCCUCCCUCCUCGGUACAUUUGCAAUUGCAAGUGUCAUCCUGGAGGUCACACGUGCAUAUGAAGAGGCUGACAGAUACCGCGUGUAUACAUAUACUAGUAUAUGCCCACAUGUAUAGACAUACACUUACACGCAUACACGCCAUUUGUUUCAUAUACCUGCAUAAAAUAGAGUAAAUACAGGUAGUUUUAAAAGUACCCUUUUGUGUGAAUCGAAUACAGUUGUUUGCAAACCUACAAAUAAAAGACGUUCGUUAUGUUUGAAAAGUAAUUGAUUUUGAUUCUGUGAGCAUGUCAACGUAAGAGGAAAGUUAGUGCUUGUACUAAGAUUAUCUUCUUGUCGAUAAACUGUAAAUGAACCAUCCAAGCUCACACCAAAUUUUUCUAUCAGAUAAAACUAGUGACAGCCUGUGGCUUUUUACUAGAGCUCGCCACAAACUAGGGUAAGUGUCUUAGCACAUUUUAAUGCAGUUGCUUACUAAAGGUUUUAACCACACACGCACACACGCUUUCUUACGCAGUCUCUGUUGGCAUCUGUGCUUUUCCGUUCGCCUUCUGUAGGAAGUAGACGUCAUAUGUUGUCUUUAUUGUAGUAAAAUUAUACAGAUAGAGUUCCAUAUAUUGUAUUUGUUUCAACAGUAAAUCUUUUGGAGCAUAUAGAAUGCAGAGAUUUUUUUUUCUCCAUUGAAAUAAAUGGGUAUUGGUGGUUAAAACUGCUGGACAAUA